GUGAACGCUGGCGGUAGGCCUAACACAUGCAAGUCGAACGGCAGCACAGUAAGAGCUUGCUCUUACGGGUGGCGAGUGGCGGACGGGUGAGGAAUACAUCGGAAUCUACUUUUUCGUGGGGGAUAACGUAGGGAAACUUACGCUAAUACCGCAUACGACCUACGGGUGAAAGCAGGGGAUCUUCGGACCUUGCGCGGUUGAAUGAGCCGAUGUCGGAUUCGCUAGUUGGCGGGGUAAGGGCCCACCAAGGCGACGAUCCGUAGCUGGUCUGAGAGGAUGAUCAGCCACACUGGAACUGAGACACGGUCCAGACUCCUACGGGAGGCAGCAGUGGGGAAUAUUGGACAAUGGGCGCAAGCCUGAUCCAGCCAUACCGCGUGGGUGAAGAAGGCCUUCGGGUUGUAAAGCCCUUUUGUUGGGAAAGAAAAGCAGCAGGUUAAUACCCCGCUGUUCUGACGGUACCCAAAGAAUAAGCACCGGCUAACUUCGUG
This 491-nucleotide ribosomal RNA is filed under the name uncultured bacterium. RNAcentral describes it as "partial 16S ribosomal RNA". It matches the Rfam family "Bacterial small subunit ribosomal RNA", at positions 29 to 507 of the family's 1533-position model. The record is from RNAcentral.